ACCCUGUAGUUUCGGGUUUGUG
RNAcentral lists this microRNA (22 nucleotides) under Lingula anatina. RNAcentral's name for it is "Lan-Mir-10-P4d_5p* (star (passenger))". The record is from RNAcentral. Lineage: Eukaryota; Metazoa; Brachiopoda; Lingulata; Lingulida; Lingulidae.